GACGAACGCUGGCGGCGUGCUUAACACAUGCAAGUCGAACGGAAAGGCCCUGCUUUUGUGGGGUGCUCGAGUGGCGAACGGGUGAGUAACACGUGAGUAACCUGCCCUUGACUUUGGGAUAACUUCAGGAAACUGGGGCUAAUACCGGAUAGGAGCUCCUGCUGCAUGGUGGGGGUUGGAAAGUUUCGGCGGGUGGGGAUGGACUCGCGGCUUAUCAGCUUGUUGGUGGGGUAGUGGCUUACCAAGGCUUUGACGGGUAGCCGGCCUGAGAGGGUGACCGGCCACAUUGGGACUGAGAGACGGCCCAGACUCCUACGGGAGGCAGCAGUGGGGAAUAUUGCACAAUGGGCGGAAGCCUGAUGCAGCAACGCCGCGUGCGGGAUGACGGCCUUCGGGUUGUAAACCGCUUUCGCCUGUGACGAAGCGCGAGUGACGGUAAUGGGUAAAGAAGCACCGGCUAACUACGUG
This 468-nucleotide ribosomal RNA is filed under the name uncultured bacterium. RNAcentral's name for it is "partial 16S ribosomal RNA". It matches the Rfam family "Bacterial small subunit ribosomal RNA", at positions 28 to 507 of the family's 1533-position model. The record is from RNAcentral.